GCGAGAGUGGUGGAAUUGGCAGACACGCUAGAUUUAGGUUCUAGUAUCGUUGAUGUGGGGGUUCAAGUCCCCCCUCUCGCA
Molecule: transfer RNA, 81 nt
Filed under: Spirochaetales bacterium
Lineage: Bacteria; Pseudomonadati; Spirochaetota; Spirochaetia; Spirochaetales
Description: tRNA-Leu
Rfam family: tRNA
About the family: Transfer RNA (tRNA) molecules are approximately 80 nucleotides in length.
Source: RNAcentral